This 28-nucleotide small RNA is filed under the name Bombyx mori (domestic silkworm). RNAcentral describes it as "ovarian small RNA-15755". The record is from RNAcentral. Lineage: Eukaryota; Metazoa; Arthropoda; Insecta; Lepidoptera; Bombycidae.
GAGCAUACUCCUCUCCAUCCCCCUUUGA